This is a long non-coding RNA of Homo sapiens (human), 17298 nucleotides long. RefSeq annotates it as LINE-1 retrotransposable element ORF2 protein-like. The transcript is spliced from 3 exons. Lineage: Eukaryota; Metazoa; Chordata; Mammalia; Primates; Hominidae. The record is from RefSeq and is a predicted model, not a curated record.
CAGGCAUGAGCCACCGCACCCGGCCCUCCUAUAAAUAUCUUGAUAGUCUGAAUGUCUAAAGGGCAGAAUUUGUGCCUAAAUGAUCCUAUCUCCUAAGUUUGAAGGCCUGACAUACUGCACUAUAUUUUGAAUUGUGAAUAAAUGAAUGUGUGCCUGGUUUUGACAAACAUUUAGAAACCAAAUUAAGAAAAUUUAUAUUUAUCUACUAAAGAUCACUUAUUUUAGAAUAUGAACAAAUGAUUUACAUCCUCUAGCAUCAUUUUAAAUAAACAUUCUAGAAUCAAAUUUUAUUAGAAUUAUUUUUACAUAAUAAAAAAAUACUUGUUUGAUUUCUUAAAAUACCCUGAAGAGGGAAACAGUAAUUCAAGUUUUAGUAGCUUUUCAAAAAGAUUAAACUCUAAAGAGUUUCUGAAUAUUAUUUGGAAGUGCAACUUUAGGUAUUGUGAUUUUCUGCUUUUAUCAAUACUAAAACAUCAAAGAGAAGAAAAAUUCCCUUACCAGUUAAGAAAAUAGGGAGAGGAGGAUAGUUUUCCAUGGCUGCAACACAAAGUUUAUUUAAAACACACACACACACCCCCGUAUGUGCACACACACAUACUCCCUAUGUGGACAUAGACAUAAUUUCUUUGCUGGAAUCUGCCCAAUGUACAAAAUUAACUUCUUUAUGUUAGCCAAAAUACUAUGGGACUUUUAAUAACCAUGAUUCUUUAUGUCUAAUCUAAGAGAUAGGACCUCCAACCAGCUCAAUUCACUGAUAUCCCACUGUGGUUGUGAAUCGCCACUGACUCAGAUGCAUACCCCCCAGUGUAUCCCUCACAACACAUUUUACUUAGCUUUUAAAAACUGACAGAUCAAUUGGGUACAAUUGCACAGGUGGAACAUUUAGGUUUAAGUUUUUUUUUUUCAUGUUCUGUCAUUUUCCCCUGCAUCAUUAGUCUCAUUCUCCCUGCUACUAAAAGAGAAUGAUUUUCCCCCAAAUCUCCUGUUUCAUUUAUUUUAUUCUUACAUUCUUCCCUUCUCUUCUACCUCUUUCUUCAACUUCCCUCUUCUUCCUUCUAAAAUACCAUAUAUCUUCUUUUUCUUUUUCUAUUUGCUUCUCUGCUGUUCUCUACAGUUGUUUGAUGCUAGUAUUGAACUUUUUGCUUCUUUCCCCUAUCAAGGUUCGAUUUAAUCGACUUCGUGAGAGGAUAUACAAGUAAAAUGUGCUUCUAAAUCUUGCUUCCUAUUUUCAGUCUGAAGGGGAAAAACAGCUUCAGUUGUUAAAAGUCUAAUUUCCUUAAAAGCUUGAAUUUUACUCCUUUAAGUUUUGUCCUAAAGCAGAUUCAUUUGACUUGUAAUUGAUAUGUCCCUCUGUUGGUCAGACUUCAGUUCUUCUUAGAGCCCAGAAUAACUUUUCUCUACUUAUUGCUGUUUUGGUUACUGUUUAUGCUUUCUCAUGUCAAAGUCACAAUGCACUGACUUCUACUGACAAUGGGUCUCUCUGUUUUUCUCUUCACAUUUUCCGUGCUGAGUGGUGUUUUCUGAAUAGGGUGAGUCUAUACUUUCUUUUUGUCCUGCAGAAAAAUGGACAUGAGGAAUCCAAUUAUGGUAGUCACAAUGUCUGUGACAGAUAUGUUAGUUACGAGCAAUAUGCAUGAUGUUUCUAGGAUUCUCCAGAGACAAUUGAAUUACUAGCUCUGUCCUGCUGUUGUUAUUGUACAUGUACCACAUCCUUACCACUGUUCUAAAGAGGAUUCGUUAUAGUUAUAGGACUAAAAGUUUGGAUUUUUUUGAAAUUUUAAAACUUUUCAUAUAUAUUAUCACUAUCUAACAUAUACUGAAGACCUACAAUGUGCCAGGCAUUGUUCUAAAUACCUUACACUGUUAUGUCAUUUAAUCUCCACAGACACUCUGUGAAGUUGGUAAAAUUGUCUAUAUUUAUACCUACAGAAAUGGAAGCACAAGGAGAAGUCUGAAGUCACACUCCAUAGGAAUCUUAGUGGUCUAGCACCAAGUCCUCAGGAUUAAUUAUUAUUCCACAGCGACCUGUUUGGAUAAUCAUGGUGACCUUGAUUUGGGGAAUUUAACAUUUAUCGUCAUUGAAUUUUAUGACUGGUGAGAAUUAAGCAGUUUGAUUUUAGGUGUCUUGAUGUUUCCCAGCAAUGACGCCCAGUUUGCUGCUUUACAGAGCAGCACACAUUUUACUUCUCAAGAUAGCAUGGGAACAUUUAGACUUUAUUAAUAGAAAAGUAGUCAUAGUAAUUUUAUUCAUGCAAUAUUGUUACAUUUUAGUUAGGAAAAGUGAAAAUUAGGGAAGUCUAAGGAAAAUUACAUAUAGCUAUUUAGAUAGUCUUACAAUCUCACAAAUAGCAAUGUAAAUAAAAACAAAAGGUGAAAAUAUUGUUUAUGCAGAUAAUCCCAAAAUGUAUUUAACUAGCACUUAUUAUAUGUGUUAUACUAUUACUAUUUGACGAUCACUGUGCAAGGUACAAUGAGGAGAGUGGCAUCAAUUGUAGGGGAACUCCUUUUAGAGGGAGGGCUUUAUGAGUGUCACCAGCGUAUAGGACUGGUCACUCUCAAGACCCUCUCAGAAGUGUGAAUGAUGAUAAAAAUACCCCAAAGAAUCUUUAUGGACUGUCAUUUAAUAGUAAAUUUCAAUGUCUUCUCUAAAAUCCAUUUUUUAUCUCAGUGACUCUGUGAUCAGAAAUAUAAGAAACACAAAUAUGGAUAAGAUAGGAAUGAAAGCAGUCAAGUGAAAAUGGCAAUUGCUCUGGUGGCCAAAUCAAAUAGCACAAUAUAAAAAGGGUCAGAUUCAUUAAGUCCUUCAUUAACCAGCCCAGUGGAGUUCCUCCCAGUUCCCCAUUGUCAACUGCCUAUUCAACGCCAGGGAUAGGCAUUCUGACAACAGGAUCUCAUCAGCAUCCUCCAAAUAUUUGAACUAAUGUUCAUUUUAAAACUUACAUUGUAAUAAAGAGAGAUAUUUAAAUCCCAAAGUUAUUUAGAAUUUAAAAGAUGACUUUCAAAUUUUUCCCUUAAGGUCUCCAUUUCCAUUUGCUGCCAUCCUGAAAAAUCUUAUAAAUGACUGAUCAAUAAGUGAUUCAAACAUCACAAUUAAAAGAACUAGAAAAGCAAGAGCAAACACAUUCAAAAGCUAGCAGAAGGCAAGAAAUAACUAAAAUCAGAGCAGAACUGAAGGAAAUAGAGACACGGAAAACCCUUGAAAAAAUUAAUGAAUCCAGGAGCUCGUUUUUUGAAAGGAUCAACAAAAUUGAUAGACCACUAGCAAGACUAAUAAAGAAAAAAAGAGAGAAGAAUCAAAUAGAUGCAAUAAAAAAUGAUAAAGGGGAAAUCAUCACCGAUCCCACAGAAAUACAAACUACCAUCAGAGAAUACUACAAACACCUCUACGCAAAUAAACUAGAAAAUCUAGAAGAAAUGGAUAAAUUCCUCGACACAUACACUGUCCCAAGACUAAACCAGGAAGCUGAAUCUCUGAAUAAACCAAUAACAGGAUCUGAAAUUGUGGCAAUAAUCAAUAGCUUACCAACCAAAAAGAGUCCAGGACCAGAUGGACUCACAGCCGAAUUCUACCAGAGAUACAAGGAGGAACUGGUACCAUUCCUUCUGAAACUAUUCCAAUCAAUAGAAAAAGAGGGAAUCCUCCCUAACUCAUUUUAUGAGGCCAGCAUCAUUCUGAUACCAAAGCCAGGCAGAGACACAACAAAAAAAGAGAAUUUUAGACCAAUAUCCUUGAUGAACAUUGAUGCAAAAAUCCUCAAUAAAAUACUGGCAAACCAAAUCUAGCAGCACAUCAAAAAGCUUAUCCACCAUGAUCAAGUGGGCUUCAUCCCUGGGAUGCAAGGCUGGUUCAAUAUACGCAAAUCAAUAAAUGUAAUCCAGCAUAUAAACAGAACCAAAGACAAAAACCACCUGAUUAUCUCAAUAGAUACAGAAAAGGCCUUUGACAAAAUUCAACAACCCUUCAUGCUAAAAACUCUCAAUAAAUUAGGUAUUGAUGGGACGUAUCUCAAAAUAAUAAGAGCUAUCUAUGACAAACCCACAGCCAAUAUCAUACUGAAUGGGCAAAAACUGGAAGCAUUCCCUUUGAAAACUGGCACAAUACAGGGAUGCCUUCUCUCACCACUCCUAUUCAACAUAGUGUUGGAGGUUCUGGCCAGGGCAAUUAGGCAGGAGAAGGAAAUAAAUGGUAUUCAGUUAGGAAAAGAGGAAGUCGAAUUGUCCCUGUUUGCAGACGACAUGAUUGUAUAUCUAGAAAACCCCAUUGUCUCAGCCCAAAAUCUCCUUAAGCUGAUAAGCAACUUCAGCAAAGUCUCAGGAUACAAAAUCAAUGUACAAAAAUCACAAGCAUUCUUAUACACCAACAACAGACAAACAGAGAGCCAAAUCAUGAGUGAACUCCCAUUCACAAUUGCUUCAAAGAGAAUAAAAUACCUAGGAAUCCAACUUACAAGGCAUGUGAAGGACCUCUUCAAGGAGAACUACAAACCACUGCUCAAUGAAAUAAAAGAGGAUACAAACACAUGGAAGAACAUUCCAUGCUCAUGGGUAGGAAGAAUCAAUAUCGUGAAAAUGUCCAUACUGCCCAAGGUAAUUUACAGAUUCAAUGCCAUCCCCAUCAAGCUACCAAUGCCUUUCUUCACAGAAUUGGAAAAAACUACUUUAAAGUUCAUAUGGAACCAAAAAAGAGCCCGCAUCGCCAAGUCAAUCCUAAGCCAAAAGAACAAAGCUGGAGGCAUCACACUACCUGACUUCAAACUAUACUACAAGGCUACAGUAACCAAAACAGCAUGGUACUGGUAUCAAAACAGAGAUAUAGAUCAAUGGAACAGAACAGAGCCCUCAGAAAUAAUGCCACAUAUCUACAGCUAUCUGAUCUUUGACAAACCUGAGAAAAACAAGCAAUGGGGAAAGGAUUCCCUAUUUAAUAAAUGGUGCUGGGAAAACUGGCUAGCCAUAUGUAGAAAGCUGAAACUGGAUCCCUUCCUUAUACCUUAUACAAAAAUCAAUUCAAGAUGGAUUAAAGACUUAAACGUUAGACCUAAAACCAUAAAAACCCUAGAAGAAAACCUAGGCAUUACCAUUCAGGUCAUAGGCAUGGGCAAGGACUUCGCAUCUAAAACACCAAAAGCAAUGGCAACAAAAGACAAAAUUGACAAAUGGGAUCUAAUUAAACUAAAGAGCUUCUGUACAGCAAAAGAAACUACCAUCAGAGUGAACAGGCAACCCACAAAAUAGGAGAAAAUUUUCACAACCUACUCAUCUGACAAAGGGCUAAUAUCCAGAAUCUACAAUGAACUCAAACAAAUUUACAAGAAGGGAAAAACAACCCCAUCAAAAAGUGGGUGAAGGACAUGAACAGACACUUCUCAAAAGAAGACAUUUAUGCAGCCAAAAAACACAUGAAAAAAUGCUCAUCAUCACUGGCCAUCAGAGAAAUGCAAAUCAAAACCACAGUGAGAUACCAUCUCACACCAGUUAGAAUGGCAAUCAUUAAAAAGUCAGGAAACAACAGGUGCUGGAGAGGAUGUGGAGAAAUAGGAACACUUUUACACUGUUGGUGGGACUGUAAACUAGUUCAACCAUUGUGGAAGUCAGUGUGGCGAUUCCUCAGGGAUCUAGAACUGGAAAUACCAUUUGACCCAGCCAUCCCAUUACUGGGUAUAUACCCAAAGGACUAUAAAUCAUGCUGCUAUAAAGACACAUGCACGUGUAUGUUUAUUGUGGCAUUAUUCACAAUAGCAAAGACUUGGAACCAACCCAAAUGUCCAACAAUGAUAGACUGGAUUAAGAAAAUGUGGCACAUAUACACCAUGGAAUACUAUGCAGCCAUAAAAAAUGAUGAGUUCAUGUCCUUUGUAGGGACAUGGAUGAAAUUGGAAAUCAUCAUUCUCAGUAAACUAUCGCAAGAACAAAAAACCAAACACCGCAUAUUCUCACUCAUAGGUGGGAAUUGAACAAUGAGAACACAUGGACACAGGAAGGGGAAUAAUACACUCUGGGCUCUGUUGUGGGGUGGGGGGUGGGGGGAGGGAUAGCAUUGGGAGAUAUACCUAAUGCUAGAUGACGAGUUAGUGGGUGCAGUGCACCAGCAUUGCACAUGUAUACAUAUCUAACUAACCUGCACAAUGUGCACAUGUACCCUAAAACUUAAAGUAUAAUAAUAAAAAUAGAAAAAAAAAAGUCUUGAAAGUGAGAAAAAAAAAACAAACAAAAAAGAAGUGAUUCAAAAGGUCACCCAUUCCCAGACAUCCAAAGAGCAGAGCAGGCAAAAAACUACUCUUCUCAAUUAAGUCAAGCUCAGAGUUCCUGGAAAGCUUAUUGACAGCUUACCCAAAUGGUUAUGGCAGUUUUAAAACCUUGGACCAUUUCCAACUUGCCCUUCAGUAAAUGAAUGAAAUUUGGACAAGCAUUAAUUUGCAGUAUUGUCAUUGGCAGGGAGAAUGUUAAUGUAUUUGUCAUUACAGAAGAAUUACAAAUCCCUGAUUAUAGCUCAUCUGUGUCUACUCAGAGAAAGUCAGAUGGAGAAUGGAACAGAUUGGACAUUGAGAGAAGUGGAAUAUUUUCUGUUUUAAUGAAAUAAAACAAAAGUCUGAGUUUGAGCCUUAGUCAUCCAGGAGUCUAUCUUUGUAUUUCAUCUUACCUGUUUCUAUAGCCAGAGAAUUUAAGAUAUAUAGUGUAAUCCAAUGCAAUUUAAUGAAUUGCUGUCCCACCAUAAUAGCUCCAGCAGUUUAUCCAGACUCUUUAUGAAUACAUCCAGUGACAGCAUAUCCCAUCAUGAAAAAGAACUACUCAUUUUUCUGCUUUAUAUGUCUUACAGUUUAACAAUAAAUGAUAGCUUUCCUAUUUUUGAAAAACUUCCAUUCAACUUAGUAGCAACCGUAGACAUACCUCAUAUAUGUGACCAACCUUCACAUAUUUGGAAAUAGUUGUCAGUUAGUCAAUCUCAAUGAUCCACUUCUCUGUGGCUAAAAUCCUCAAUCCUAAUUCAAAUUCUUUAAAGCAUUAUUCAUAAAAUAUUGUUUUUAAAUCCUUCACUACCCUGGUCACCCCCUUGGACAUGAUUUUGUUGUACAAUAGCUUGCAGCAAUGUGGUAUACUGCACAGUGAGAAAGAGAAAAGCAACCUCUCAGCCAGGAGGAGCCCGCACACUCACAGAAAGGCUAUGCUGUUCUUCUGUUGUACAUAAACAAUUUACAGAAUUGUUUAUGUAAAACGACUUUAGACAAGUCCACUCUGUGAUCAUGGUGGAUUAAGCUAAAACCAUUCUAUAAAUAUUACACAGAAGUGACAAAAUAUUCUUUGUUCUAGCUAAUAUGAAUGCCUGCUGGAUUUUUCUUUUUUUUUUUCUUUUUUUAACCAAUUAUAGCUUUAGUCUUACUUCAUUCCUCCAAUCUUCUCAAUAAGAAUUAUUAAAAUACCCAGUCAUGGAACUGACAACUGGGUAAAAGUAAGGUUAAAAAAAUUAUGAGCAAUCAUUUGAUAUAUGACCCGAGAGAUUAAAAUAAAGCAAUAAUACUAUACUAUUACCAUUAUUAUUAUUAUUACAAACAAAAUAAUAAAAUCAGAGCUAGUAUUCAUUCAUUGAGUGCUUGGUCUGGAUGUUGGCAGACCAUGUGACAGACAAUUUACCUACAUUACUCUUUAAUGUACACGAUUUAUAAAAUAAGUAUAGUUAUCUCAUUUUACAGAUUAGAAAAAGUGAGGUUUGUGAAAUGAAGUAGCUAGCUCAAGAUCUCUCUGCUAAAAUUAAAUUUUGAAACCAAGACCUAAAAUCUACAAGCCAAAAUUUUAUUGCCUCAGUUCAAGGCAGUAAGUAGGACUGAUGUACUUGCAGGAGUUGCAUCUAACCAAGGAGAAAUGCCUUUUGAAAUGUGUUUGACCAAAAGAUGUGAUGUCUUUAUUGCACAUUCUCAAAAAGUUGUCUGUGUGCCAACUAUGAAUCCUCUUAAUGCAGGAAGAACCCCUGAUGGUCUUAGCUUAAAGAUACCUUUUUGAAGAAUUUCCAUAAAGUUUAAGCAUUUUAAAAACUUUUCUAUUAACUCUCAGUUCCAAAUAGGUGUGCCAAUUCUUAUAUGCCAAGUAUCAACUAGAAGAUUGUUCUGUAUCAGCCAAGUUGUCAUGAUGUUUCAUCCCUCUCUAAACUCCCACUGUCUCACCAAAAAUUGGAAACAUUGGUACCCAAAUUCUACUGUGUAACUUUUCAAGAUGAUUGUUUGUCCCUAUAAUCCUACUUUGACCAAGAGGAUGAUGCUAUUUUAUAAAAAUAUUUUCCGGUCUACCUUUAGAAAUUCACAUAUUCUUCAUGGCGAUUUAUACUGAUUAAAAAAGGACAAUAAUCCAGUCAUAUUAGUUAGGAAAGGUUAGCAGCAAAUUGCCCACCAAACACACAGAUUUGCCUUCGUGAAAAGUCUCAAAAGUACAAACAUUACAAAAUGACAAAAAUAACUACCAAUGUAUCAAAGACACUGGGUGAAUCUCUAAUGUUAAGAAAAGACUCCAAGUCUUUCUUAGAAAAACAAAAGAAGCAAAAUGUGUUAUUCACCCAUUCCGAAAAAUAUCAACCAACUCUGUCAGUAAUUUCAUGAAAUAGCUAAUAUAGACAAUAUCAAUUUCUGAGAAAGAAAGAAUUUAGUUGUGUAGUUACCAAGACAGUAACAAUUUGUUUUUGGCUCCCACUUUGUGCCAAAUUGUGCCACACUAAAUGCUUUGGGUAUGGAACUCACUCUCUGUAAGUAUUCCUUAAUCUUGUAUGAUGAAAGAUGGCUACAGGCAACUGACUCCCUCCAAAGUCUGAAAACAGUAGUACAAAUUAGCAUAAGGCCAAUGAUCUGUGAGAAAUUAGAAAUAAUGUUAUAGGCAAGUGAGAAAUGAGUUUACUAGAUGCUGAAAAGAGUGCCAAGCUAAGCAUCAUAGAAUAAGAGAUGUUACAUAUAAUUACAUAGCUUUAUAGAUUUUCAUUUUAAUAUAUCUCUCUUCCAUUUAUUGUAUGUUGCAUGAAGACAAAGACCAUGUCAGUCUUGACCAAUAUUGUAUUACAGUUCUUUAAGAGAACAAAUGAGUGAAUGGAAGAAUGGAAAUCUCUUCCAGCCCUGUUACAAUAUACAUCUGUUAUUUUGUGUGUCCAGCAUUCACUCCACAUUUAUCUCAUAGCAGGACUUCUGUUUUCCCAAGGGACUUUCAAGUUUCCUACUCUCAGCCCACUAUUUAAUUAGUCUUGUUAGGUGAUGCUGUGUUAACUCAUUAGUACACUCCAUCUCUCUGGCUACAGAACCUAAGUCUCAGGGAUUUGGGGAAAACUUUUAGGCUGGAAUUUUUGGUUGUAAGAAAACCUGUGCAUUUUAAAGGUUACCAUAUGGUAAAUUCCUUGCUGAGAAUGAAGUUAACAUAGACUAAGAAAAAGCAACCAGAAAUAGUGCACACACACACACACACACACACACACACACACACUCAAAGCAAGAGAAAGAAAAAGAUAGAGAGAGAGCAUUCUGGUGAAUUUGGCUUGUUUUGGCCAUUCUUGUACCUUGGUUUUCUGAGCAAAUAAAUCAUUUUUUAUGCUUGAAUUAUUUUGGGUAGGGUUAAUUUUAGUCGUAAUAAAAAAGAGUUAAUAAUACACUCUUCUCUCUGCAAAUGGAGAAAUGAGUACAGAGGAGAAAAGUGCCUUAUACUUUCGUAGGUGCAAUAUUUUAUAGUGAAAGAAUUAUGACUGGGACCAUGGUUCUUAAACUUCCAAUUCUUUCUACCAUGCUCCAUUGCCUUUAUUAAAUAAUAGAUUUGUUAAAGACAUGGAAGAUUAAGAAAAGAAAUAUUACAACAACUUUCUUGGAGAAAAUAACCAAAAAUCUACUACCUCCAUAGGAUGGUCUCCGUUUUCUCACUUACAUUCCUCCAAAUAGGAGGCAGGAUUUGAAUCUCCGAAUUCAUUUGGCCAUGUAACUUUCUGCUGAGACUGCCUGAAGAGGAGACAAUUAUACCCAAAAGGCAGUCUAAUUAAUAAAUUAAAGUAAAAUUACUCAUUGAAAUUCUUAUUAUCAAAUACAGCAUUAGUCCAUUUGUCAGGUAAUUCGUAGUAAUGUUUAGUAGUUGAUAGUAAUUUGUAGUAAUUACAUGUCAAGCCAUUUCUUCACUUCAUAUUGGUUUCACUUAGUAAACUCAAUACUAAGAAAAGGAAUUAGUGGUUGAUGGCCAUGUCUGCUUUUUAAUGCAAAGUAAGUAAUAUAAUAUAAUAUAAUAAGAAGCAAAGUAAAUACAGAGUUGAGAAGGAAGUAGCUAAUGUACAGGGCCAGAUUGCGUAAGUGGUUCUGUACUGAAGUAAAAAUCUCAUACUAUUUUAUUAGCAAACAUUGAAUUUGGGUAAAAGAAAAAAGAACACAAACAUGGAAUACAUUGGGCGUUUAAUAGUUAUGAAUUUCCAGCUAAUCUAUUGGCUUUUAAUUCCCAAAUCUCCAUUUUUUCUAGAGGGAUUAAAUAAACCUAUUAAGGUUCUAGGAAAGACUUUUGAGACCAUUAUUUGAGUCCAUAAUUGUCACUGUGAUAAUUUAUGGAUCAGUAGAUCAGAACAGAAUCUCACUUGCUAGAAUGGAAUUUCCUUUGCAAUGUGCUUUCAUUUUAGAAGCCAUAGAAAGACUUUCAUUUUAGAAGCCGUUGAAAGACUUUCAUUUUAGAAAACAUAGAAAAAAGACUUUCAUAGCCAGGAUUAUAUUUGUUAUACUGAGCAUUAUGCAGUUAUUGAAUUGCUUGAUUCCAAACUCCCAUGGGCAUAAAAUAUCAUCAAUCAACUUCAUAUAAAUGUAUAAAUCUUCAGAAAUAAGUUUAAGUUGAGCAUGUGCAAGCACAAAUGUCACAAGAUACAAAUUUUCAGUCAGGUGUUUAAUUUUCAUUUUAAUGUACUGACCACUACCCUCGUCUCUCUUUCUACCUUCUUGGUCCCUUCUCCAUUGUUUCCUUAUUACCAGUUCAUCCCACAACUGCAGCAUCUUGUAGGGGUAUUGUUUAUUGUUGUUUUAUGACCUACUUCUCAGGGUUGCAUUGUUUUCAUUUUGCAAAAGCCCUUUAAAAUUCCACAGCUCUAAAAAUUUAAGUACUACAAAGUUCAAAAAUCAAUAUCUUAUCUUGAGUGAUACACAAGUUUCCAGAAGAGAAAUUUUGGCAUUCAUUCCAUCUUAGUAAAUAAAAAGGAAUUCACAUAUUAGUAAUUUAAAAUCCUAAAUAAUGUAAAGCAUGUAGAGAUGAAGCAAUCAUUAUUCAAUUGCAAGUGAGAGAACUGCCCUGAAUCAGUGGUUAUAGAUGGAUAUAUAACUUUUUCUUUUAGGCCCUUUUCAUAAUAUGGUUAUUUGUGGUCUGAGUAAAUCAUUGAAAUCAUAAUAUAACUCUUUUCAGUCUCUAAAUACGUGAAAAAAAAUAACAUUUUGAAGCCUUCAGUAAAGUAGGCUGACUGAAAGGCAGCAAAGGGAGAGAGGCUUCUUCCUACAAUUCUCUUCUGCAAGAACAAUAUUGUGUAUUCCGAAACAAUUACUCUUUUCACAGUAAAUAAUUUGGAAUAAUUGUUCAUAAUUGAUAACAAUUUCUAGAAGUAAUAGAAGACUGUGGUAAAAGAGAUUGGACUCUGUAGACAGACAACCUUAUAUUUAGAUCCCUGGUCUUAAGUCUACUAACUUGUGUGGCGCGGGAAAAUUACUUUCAUCUCUUUCAGAGACGUUUAUUUGUUUUCUUUCCUCCCUCCCUCCCUCCCUUCUUUCCCUCCUUCCUUCCUUCUAAAAAAUGAAGACAAAAUUCAUCAAUUUGAUGUUGCCUUAAGGAAAAAAUGUGAUUAAGUUUUCAAAAGCGCAGUGUUCAGCCAAUGUUAUAAACUUUUCCAUUAGUAUUCAGAUAGGUAUCAAUUAAGGAAAAACUCACCAGUAAUAAUGGUAAUAUUUAUUGAAGGCUUGCUAUAUACUAGGCACAUUUUAAGACCUAUUUUGGAUGUUUCCCUCUUCCUAAAAUAUUUAAUAAUAUCCCCAGUUACUAUCUUUUCUUUUUAAUUUGACCAUCAUAAGUACUUUUUUAUUGUGAAACUAUUAGCAUUUAUAUUUGUCUUUCUUACUUUCCUUACAAGACUAUAACUUCUUGAAAACAAAUAGUCUGUUUGGACAUCUUUUAGACAGGACAUCUUUCCUAUCUAAUCACACAUUUUUAGCCUAGAAUUGCACUUAGUCAACAAUAAAUUGAAUCAAGUUAACUUUAAAGAAAUUAAUUAACAACCCUAUGCUGAGGUGUACCUUUUUCACACAUACAAACACACAUGUGAGUAUCUCUUAUGGUGCUGAAAUUUAAGACUCAGAAAGUAAUUGCUGAAGGAAAUGUUUUUGAUUAAUCUUGGUGAAGAAUAAUAUCCUAACUUACAUUCUGCAAAUUACUUCUUCAACAAGUACAAUACAAACUCUUUAAAUGGUCUUACAAUAUGUCAACCGUGAAUAUGAUUAUGUUAUUUUUGUUUUUAAAGCAUGUGAAUCUUCUUUUGAUAAACACAAUGUCUACACUUCAGGUGCUUGGCAAAAUAAGAAUCAUAGGUAGAACAAUUUUGCCAUUGUUACAAAACUUUUGAAGUUACAAUCUAGAAUAUUGUUCAGUGCAUUUUAUAAUGAAUCUCACAAUAAUGUCUUCUCAGAGUUCAAAGACAGGAAAGAGUUACUUUACUAGGAAAAAGAAAAACCCAGGAUUCCUUUUAUUAGCUAACAAAAACCAUGUAAACCUUUGUAAUUCUGUAUUUUGUUAAGAGUCAGAGCUAAAUUUCAUGCUCAAGUAAUUUACUGCGUUUUCCUCACUCUAUCGCAUUGCCCCUUGUUAAACCAGUGUUUUAAUGUUUUUGUAAUAUCUUUGCCUUCUAGUAGAGUAUGAAUCCUUUUAUGAAAGUAAAGAUAAACAAAUGAAUAUAAUGCUUACUCCUUUUUAUAUCCCCACCUUCACAGUUAGACUGAAUGCUUUAUAAUUACUCUGGUAGACUCUCUGAUGUCCUGCCAGCAACGCCUUCAAUGAAAACUUAUUGCCCAUCCCAUAAGAGUGCUUGGUAAACAGAUUUCUGCAUUUGCCUCUUCCAGAAUUGCCUCACCUGCAGACUGCCACAGCCACAUUAUUUAAGUUUACACUUCUUCCUAGGGUGGCCCACAAGUAAUGGCAUCAAUCAUCAGUGAAAAUCGGGUCAUCUCAGUGUAACUUAGACAAUUCCGAGAGAACUGUCUAGCUUUAGAGCAUCCCAUGGCAUUGCCCUAGUUUUUCACUGGGAUUGUAUCACAGAUCAACUUCUCCCUCUGUCCAAUCCUAUCUACUUACCCUAUCUUUUACAAGUCAGGAUCCUGUUUGGCAAAGGACCAAAUAAGCUAGAGACAUCAGGGAUGACGUCCAUGCAUAUUUAGAGUCUCCAGAUUCUCCUUGAUCUUGCAAGUUUGCAGAAGUGGAUGAAACAUCUCUAUGAAAAGGUAGUAUUCCCCUCUUGCUUGAAGAUGAUUCAGACAUUACUCAAGACAACACAUGCUCCUACUACCCUUUUUGGCAAGAAAAUCUAUAAUUAGAGUUAUGACAUAACAUAAACCAUCUAGAGAUAUGAUGGGAUGGUGCAUUGCAAGUACCAUGGCAUAAAAACCUGGGAGACUUUAUGACAUUAGUGGUAUGAGUGAUGAGAAAAGAUGCCAUUUCGAGACUAUGGCAAGUAUCAAUGAGAAAAUCACAACACAGAUUGCUGGUAGUCUGGAGCAAGAGCAUUCCAUCAGAAUCAUGCCUUUUAAACAACAACUGUUGACAUACUACUGGGCCUGCCAUAGAUGAAGUAGCUGACCAUGGAGCACCAAGUGAUAACUGAGCCACACCUGUCUGUCAUGAGCUGGGUUCUGUCAAACUCACUAAGCUCUAAGAUCAGAAGAUUCUUGCAACAAUUUAUUGAGAGUUCUAAGUGUUACAUCUAGAACUAAGCUCAAGCAGAUCAGAGGGUCCAUGCAAGCUGUAUAAGCAAAUUACCAAACCACCCAUGUCAUCCACCGCACCUCUCCCCCAGCUCACACCCAUUACCAAAAAGAGGAUCCUUACACUCAGUAAAUAGUGGAAGACAAAGCACAUGAUUCGUUCAUAAAAGGGUCAGUUAAGCAUAUGGGUAAAAUGUGAAAUUAGAUAGCAGCUGCAUUAUAGCCCCACUCAAUGAGGGCAUUGAAAGAAUAGUGAGAGAAAAUCCUUGCAAUGUACAGAUUCUUGGUUUGUGGUGGGGGUAGGGGGCAGAAUGUAGUCAUAUAUUUUGUGUAAAAAAAUAAAAUUAACUCAAGUUCAGAGCAUAUGUGAAUUCAAGGACAGUAGCAAAUGGCUUGGCUAAGUGAUUAGGAGCCUGAAGAAAGAUAGGAGAAGAUACUGCAUAAGAACUUCUGUAGUAGAUGCAUUUAGAAUGGGUACCUGGAAGAGAGCAUGAAGUAUGACGAAGUUUUUUUGUUGCACACUAAUACUCACUAGAGAGCACCCACCACGGAAGAAGCACUGAACAAUGAAGAAGACAAAAACUCGCCCAGUUGAUAUUAGUCUCUGUCAUCAGCUACUCCAGCUGGCAUUAUGAUUACAUGAAAUGGCCAAGGAAGUAAGGAUGGAAGCUUUACAUGGGUCCAAUCUCUUGGAAUCUAAGUAACUUAAUUGAUCUUGCUAUUUGUGUUAGCUGAUUUUGCUACUGCAAACACAAAUAUCCAACUGUCAUCAAUAAAGGCCAAUGCUGAGUUGCCAUUAGAGCAGCCUGCUUCAAGAAGACCAUCUUUGUCUUUUCUUAUUGUCUUUUUUGCUUGCAGGACAUCAAACAGUAUGACUGUCUGAAGACUUAGGGAAUCCUAGGUACUGGAUUCCACAUGAAAAAAUGACCAACCAGGAAACCUAGUUUAUAGCAAAGGAGGUGCUAAGGCAAACCUCUGACCAUGAGAUGAACUAAUCAUUUAACAUACAACACCACUCAUUAACUGGAAGACUAGAAAUCCCGCUUGGAGGCAAUACUUUAUGAGGAUGCAACACAAUCCAUGCUGUGGUAUGCUCAUUGAAUCAGUAACAUGUAUAACUGUGCCUCCCCUUCACAGUAGGAAGAAUACAUGGGUCUAGGAACCAAGAACAAAAAGAACAAGUAGGCUCACUUAAAUCACUUCAAGUAACCCACUUGGGAAUUUAUUUUUCCUAUUCCUUCUAUUCUAGGCUUUGUAAAUUUAAAGGUCUUGGUUCCCAAAGGCAGGACACUUCUGCCAGAGGACACAGCAAAGGUCACAUUGAAUUGUAAGCUGUGACUGCCAACUGGGAACUUUAGAUCAGCAGGCAAGAAUAGCAGGGAUCAUCUUGGCAGGGGCAAUAGACCAUGAUGCUUAGGAAGAGGUGGGGUUGCUGCUACACAGUGAAGAUUGAAAGAAUGUAUGUGACACUCAGGUGGUCUACUUGGGUACCUCUGGUAUUCCUUUGCCUAGUUGUGAAAAUAGACAAGAGCAACAACUUUAGCCUGAGAAAGGUGUGGUGGCUAGGGACUUAGAGCCCUUAGACUCCAGUAGAAAUGGUAGUAGAGAGUGAAUGGAAUAUAGACUGGAUAGUGAAAGAAAUCAUGAGCAUCACUUGUCCCCCUACACCCAGGGCAGCUGUGGUGAUAGUACCUAUUGCUUCCCACAAACUUGCUUAUAAAUUUUCUCCAUGAAUAGAUGUCUAAAACAGUCUCUGGGAAGCUUCCAGAAAUUUUAUGAAGAAAAGGAUCUAAGCAGGCAAGAGAUGGACUGUGGGGGAUCACCACAUUUGACCACAUGUUGGUCAAAUAUCCCUUCAAUGAAGAAAUUGUUCCCCCAGAAUCUGGGAGUGCUGACAAUAGUCGGUCUUUAGCUGUCAGCCCUUUAAGGGACUAUCUCAGCUGCAAAGAGUCUCCUUGCCCAAGGAAAUGCCUCUUCCCUGGGUAGACUGCAUCCAAAAUUAAUAAAUGAGAAAUUAUAAAUAUCAGAUCAUUAGUCCAAUUUAGAACAAUUCUGAGGGUUAUCCUAGCUCCAGAACUUCUCAUGGUAACAACUAUGGCUGUCAAUGAGUCUACAUCACAACUUGACGUUUCUCUACGGAUGACUACUUCUUUCUUCCUUUCACAGGUAUUGAUUACAAGAGUACUAUUUAAUAAACAUCCUAUAUGCUAAACUCUGUUUUAGAGUUUGGUUCCUGGGGUACUCAAAUUGUGCACCUGCCAAGCAAAGCAAUGAUUUGUUAUAAAGCCUUUCCAUAUCUGCAGUAAAGAAGGUAGUUUUACAUAACAAUGAUGACUAUGGGCACUGGAAUUAGCAAGUCCUGGAUUUGAACCUUGGCUUUGCCACUUACUAGCUGUGUGGUCCCAGGAAACCAAAGUUCAGAGACAUAAACAAAAGAGAAAAAACCCACAAAACUUCCUCAAGUCAUAGGUCCAGUAAUAAGGUAAGCUGGGAAUUUAACUCACAUUUUCUGACACUAAAACUAUUGUUCAUUCUCCUGCACUAAGCUUCUACCAUAAUUUAUACACAAUGGACUUUACCUAAGGUUAAUAUAAUUUUGCAAUCACUAGACAAUUGGGAUCAUCUUCCUCUAUCUCUGAAGGUUGGUUCUAUUCGGAUUAUGUUGUGGUUGAGAGGUUUUAUUACAGCUACCAUGUAUUUACCCUAGGCUGAAAUAAUGCAAGCAAUUUUAAUGGAGUGCCAAUUAUAUGCAAAUUUCUGUCCCAGUACUGGUGGAGAAGAAAACAAACAUUUAUGAAUAAAAUCAUCAUCAAAGGAUCUCUUUGUUCAGAUUUUUAGAGAAUAAUAUGAUAUUGCAGAUGCAAUCUUACCUUCAGAUAUUACAUUGAAAUAUUGCCAGUGGCAUGGCAUCUAUCCAAUAACUGGCUUAACUUCCCCUAAAUACAAGCUAUGCUUUAGUUAAACAAAUAUUUAUUGUGUGCCAACCAUGGACUCGGUAUUCGGGGCACAAUAACGAACAAGGCAUGCAGUGAAGGUAUUGUCCUCAUCAAGUUUACAAUGUAGAGGAAGAUGGGAUACAAGAAGAGCGUAUACAAGAGAACAGAAAAGUGAGCAAAAGAAUGAUAAGAGAUGUAAGGAAAAUUUUAAAGAAUGAAGGGAUAGAGAUUGAAUUGGGAGGUUAUUUUGAAUUAUAUGGUAAUUCAAUUAGAUGAAUUUUUUUUUCUAAUUGAAUUAGAUGGAGAAUCUUUUUCUAAUGAGGUAACACUUGGACUGAGACCUGAUGAAUACUGAAGGAGAGUACUAGAAAAUCCCAGGCAGAGUGUUAUUAGUAGCCAGAGGAAUUGGGCAAUUAGAGAAAGAAAUA